RNAcentral lists this unclassified non-coding RNA (219 nucleotides) under Glomeraceae sp. Its description in RNAcentral is "partial contains 5.8S ribosomal RNA and internal transcribed spacer 2". The stretch from base 1 to 71 matches the Rfam family "5.8S ribosomal RNA", at positions 84 to 154 of the family's 154-position model. The record is from RNAcentral. Lineage: Eukaryota; Fungi; Glomeromycota; Glomeromycetes; Glomerales; Glomeraceae.
GUGAAUCAUCGAAUCUUUGAACGCAAAUUGCACUCUCUGGUAUUCCGGAGAGUAUGCCUGUUUGAGGGUCAGUUUAAAUAAAAUUAGGUUUGGUUGCUGCCUUUCGUGGUGACGGACCGGCUUUGGUUUGUCUUGCCCUAGGUUCAGUGACAUGAACUUUUUCAUGAGUUUUUUGGAACGUAUUUAUAUGAUUUUACGUAAGUUUGCGUUAUCGAAUAC